This is a long non-coding RNA of Polypterus senegalus (gray bichir), 391 nucleotides long. RefSeq lists it as uncharacterized. The transcript has 3 exons. The record is from RefSeq and is a predicted model, not a curated record. Lineage: Eukaryota; Metazoa; Chordata; Cladistia; Polypteriformes; Polypteridae.
UAUAGAUUCAAUGAUUGGACAAGACUUCUGCCACCAUGCACGCCUCAUCUCGAAGUGCCUUGUCAAGCCCCGGGAACGAUAUUUCAUGCCCACAGGAAAUCAUGAAUCUUUAAGAUAGCAUUCUUGGAUCUCUCCACGUCACAAAUCAACAGGCCAGUUUCCUGGGGUAAUCAACUUUCUAUUGAAUGGUAGUCAGCAAACACAAUGGAGCAAUCUGGACUGUUCAACUGUUCUCUCAAAAAUUUCCAAACUGACCACGGCAUAUAUUACACAAUUAGUGGAGUUCAACAUGUCAUCUAAAAAACUUGAAAAGGAAUACAAAUAUUUUCAUGAAAAUUAUCUUUUCGGCUGCAAAGAGACGUCAGGGUGACAUUCACAGGUGGACAGACGU